RNAcentral lists this ribosomal RNA (644 nucleotides) under uncultured organism. RNAcentral describes it as "bacterial SSU rRNA". It matches the Rfam family "Bacterial small subunit ribosomal RNA", at positions 40 to 676 of the family's 1533-position model. The record is from RNAcentral.
CGGCGUGGAUUAGGCAUGCAAGUCGAACGAUACCGCAAGGUAUAGUGGCAGAAGGGUUAGUAACACGUGGGUAAUCUACCCUCGAUUCGGGGAUAACACAUCGAAAGAUGUGCUAAUACCCGAUAAUAUCCCGAUCUCGCAUGAGAUUGGGAUCAAAGGUGGCUCGCAAGGGCUGCCGGUUGAGGAGGAGCCCGCGUCCUAUCAGCUAGUUGGUGAGGUAAUGGCCCACCAAGGCUUUUGACGGGUAGCUGGUCUGAGAGGAUGAUCAGCAACAUUGGGACUGAGAUACUGCCCAGACUCCUACGGGAGGCUGCAGUCGAGGAUCUUUAGCAAUGCCCGAAAGGGUGACUAUGCGACGCCGCGUGCAGGAUGAAGGUUUUCGGAUUGUAAACUGCUGUCAGGGGGGAAGAAACCUUACGUGAUAAUACCGCGUAAGCUGACAUUACCCCCAAAGGAAGCCACGGCUAACUCUGUGCCAGCAGCCGCGGUAAGACAGAGGCGGCAAGCGUUGUUCGGAUUUAUUGGGUGUAAAGGGCGGGUAGGUUGUCUUGAAAGUCCGAUGUGAAAUCCCAUGGCUCAACCAUGGAACUGCAUUGGAAACUUCUUGACUUGAGUGCCGAAGAGGUGAGGGGAAUUCUCGGUGU